UGAAAAGGUGAGCGUAUCCUGCUCCACCGGUGGCACCCGUCAUAAACAUAUACAAAGUCUAUUUACGUUAAGUGUUCACCUGAAAUAUACUUUUCACCCUUUCUAAGGAUCAAACCACUGAUUCAACAGAAAACUAUGAUGUGGGGUCUAAUUUGGUUUAAAUAUCUGCGCUUAUUGUAAGCAUGGAUCCUAAGGUUUCAGUAUGUAACUGCAUCUUGUCGAUCCCAUACCUGCUAUUGACAGGUGUUGUGUACUUGUCAAUGACCCGUGCCAUGAUUUGCAAAAUGGUUGAUUGGUGCUAUGAAAACCAUUUUAUGGUUACUCAUGUAUCAAGUGCACAAGGUUAGAAUAAAGUGGCUGUUUGCCUAAAGAAGGGAUACCAUAUUAUUUAUCCAGCUUUAAAUGGAAACAAUUUCAAAUUAUACAUCUUCAUUUAAGUCAAGUUUGGAAUUUU
Long non-coding RNA from Haliotis rubra (blacklip abalone), 454 nucleotides. RefSeq lists it as uncharacterized. The transcript has 3 exons. Lineage: Eukaryota; Metazoa; Mollusca; Gastropoda; Lepetellida; Haliotidae. The record is from RefSeq and is a predicted model, not a curated record.